This 465-nucleotide ribosomal RNA is filed under the name uncultured bacterium. Its description in RNAcentral is "bacterial SSU rRNA". It matches the Rfam family "Bacterial small subunit ribosomal RNA", at positions 338 to 795 of the family's 1533-position model. The record is from RNAcentral.
CCUACGGGGGGCACCAGUGGGGAAUAUUGCACAAUGGGCGCAAGCCUGAUGCAGCCAUGCCGCGUGUAUGAAGGAGGCCUUCGGGUUGUAAAGUACUUUCAGCGAGGAGGAAGGCAUCAAGGUUAAUAACCUUGGUGAUUGACGUUACUCGCAGAAGAAGCACCGGCUAACUCCGUGCCAGCAGCCGCGGUAAUACGGAGGGUGCAAGCGUUAAUCGGAAUUACUGGGCGUAAAGCGCACGCAGGCGGUCUGUCAAGUCGGAUGUGAAAUCCCCGGGCUCAACCUGGGAACUGCAUUCGAAACUGGCAGGCUAGAGUCUUGUAGAGGGGGGUAGAAUUCUAGGUGUAGCGGUGAAAUGCGUAGAGAUCUGGAGGAAUACCGGUGGCGAAGGCAGCCCCCUGGACAAAGACUGACGCUCAGGUGCGAAAGCGUGGGGAGCAAACAGGAUUAGAUACCCGGGUAGUC